RNAcentral lists this long non-coding RNA (8909 nucleotides) under Nicotiana tabacum (common tobacco). RNAcentral describes it as "long non-coding RNA (NTAB_LNC013198)". Lineage: Eukaryota; Viridiplantae; Streptophyta; Magnoliopsida; Solanales; Solanaceae. The record is from RNAcentral.
AUAAUUGACGUAACCAUAACCGAGCGACCGUUGGCUAGUCAAGUCCCUGCAAACCCGAACCGAAACAACUUGCCCCAGCUGAUUGAACAGAUCAUAAAGCUGCGAAUCGGUCACAUUGACAUCAAGGUCACCCACGUACAGUGACGUAACAAACUGGUUGUUCACACCACCAGCAUUAUUCACACCACCCUGUGGCUGCUGCUGCUGCACCUGAACCUGUGCCAUCUCAAUUCAACACAAAAAAACGAAAAACGAAAAUAAUAAAGAUAAUUUUCUUUUUCAAACUUUUUUCCGAUUUUUUUGUUUUUUUUUCUAACUUCCCUCUCCUCUUUUUAUUCGCAGAUACAAAAUCUCAUAUAAAUAAAAGGCCGAUAUCAAUCAAACUCGAUGAGAUUGAGAAUUUUGAGAUAGAAGAUACUGAAACCCUAGAAAAUUUUGAUUUUUUUCCAAUAGAUUUUCUUUUUAGCUUUUUUUCUUUUUUUUUUCUGGAUAGAUGAUAAAGAGAGGAGAGGGAAGGUGGAUAAGUCGGAGAUCCGACGGAAAACGAAGGGAUCGCCGCCGGCAAGGCCGGAAUAGGAAGAAAGAGGGAGGAGAAAAAGAUAUAGGGGCAGCUUUAAACUGCAAAAUUGCAGAAGAAGAAUAAAUUGGGAAGGUUUUUUUUGCCUUAAUAGAAGUAAAAAUUUGGGUUUUGGGAUUUUGUGUGUGUAAGCAAAGCCAAAGCCCUAAGAUGAUUUACGGAGCAAAAUAUACGCCGUUCGAUUAGGGAGGGAGAGGGUCCCACUUGACGUGGUCUGAUGUAAUCCCUACUGUUAGCUGGCAGUUGCGAUAAGAGGCCUUCUUAUUGGUUGGAUGAGCGACUCAUUCAACUUUCUGUCUCGUUUUUUUCUUUUUAGAAAGCUUCAAAUAAAAUUAAAUCUAUAAUACCUUGGUCACUAUAUUAAUUCAUUGAAAUUCCUUUUUAUAUUUAAGAACUAGUCAAUUCCUCUGUAUUAUGUGCACUUGUAUCAAUGAAUUUACAAAAUAAAUUUUCGUAAAUACAUUUGAUACAUAAGAUAUAGGGAGAUAAAAGGUCGCUAAAUUUAGAUAUUUAAAUAAUUUUUCAGAACAAAUACAUAACUAUAAUAUAUAUUUUAUCAUGCUCUUGUGAAUCCCAACAUAGUUUAUACUUUAUACAGAACCCUUCUAUUGAAAGAAGAUAAAUUCAGCUAGUAUUUGUACAUAUAUUUGGUGGAAAGUUGAAAAAAAAUUGAAGUAAUGUUGAAGAAUAAUUUUUGGAAGUUGAAGUUCUGUUUAGAUAUGUAUUUUAUUUGAAGUUUCGUAAGUGAAAGAAAAAAAUUCACUUAAAAAUUAUCUUAAACCAAUUUUCGAGAACUGAGGAAAAAAACUAAUUAUAUUCCAUAAUAUUUUCAAUGUUUUGUUAUAAAAUAAACAACCAAAAUUUAUGACCAAAUGGGUCUUUGGUAUGUAUUUAUAUCUAUGGAUGGAUGGAGAGAUCAUCGUCGUCUUGUGAAUUCCACUCGAAUUUACAUCAAAUUGCUCUAUUAAUCAUGAAAAACUCUUUCAGAAAAUAAAAUAUUAUUUUUGUUAAGAAGUCAAUAAAUCUCAAAACAUCAUAGUCAACUUUUAUUUCUAAUCCUCGAGCGCGAUAAAGCAUAUUAUAUGUUCUUAAUCUAUUAUGUUUGUGAAUAGUAGUAAAUAAAGUGCAUAGAGUCAAUAAUUAAUGAUAAAAUAUAAUUUCAUUAAGCAUGAUAAAGUUUUUUUUUUUAUGUAUAUCGAUUAUGCACUAUUGGGGGCAACCUUAGGGGUUGUUCAGUUGGGAAAUAUGUUAUUCUGGAAUUAUAAUAACAGAUAUAAUAACAGAGUUAUAAUAUAAGAGAGUUAAAUAGUUAUAGAAUUAUUCGAUGGAUAUAUUUUUAGUGGGAGAUUUUUGCUUCAUAAACUAAAUAUGAGAUAUACAGGUCGAGUAUAAAAUAAAAUGUGUUUGAUAUUACUAGAUGAAUUGGGAUAAACUUUUAUUUUAAUUUUAACCUUAGAUUUUUUUAAAGAACGUCGGGAAAAAGCUUUAAAAGGGUCUUUUUGUCAUUGUAGUGCUUUAUUCUGAGAUUAUUAUCUCACCCGAUAGAAUAAUAUCACAAUUAUGAUAUAAAUUAAUCUUCGGAUUGCUAAUCUCAAACUCAAAAAAUAAACCAAAUGCCAAAUAAAAUAAUUCUGCAUCUAAUCCAAUGAUUUUUGUUAUCCCUUAACGCACCAACCAAACAGCCUUUAGUGUUUUGACAAUAUUCGAGAAACGUCAUUUUAUAAGUUUAUGAAAAGCAACCACAUCUUAUCAAAUUAUUUAAGAAAGAUUAUCUCUUUCGAAGCAAAACACACACAAAAAAAAAAGAUUAAUAAAAUAGAUACAUAAAAAUACCUGGUUUUUAAAUGGAUUCUCAUCAAAAACAUCUUUAAUAAACCGUGAUAUGACAAAAUCAAAGAAAUCAUCUGCUGGUCGUCUUUUCGUUUUAGAAGAAGAAGCCCCUGCCAUCAUAAAGAGUUUGGUUUUUACUGUGAUCACCAAAAAGAAUCACGCAACCAAAUUCUUUAUUAAUAUCCUGAAAAUCAAAAUAAAAAAAAAUGAUCAAAACUGCAGCAAGCUUUCGGACACAAAUAAAUAAAGUCCUUCCAACAAGAUAGUAAUUGUUGUUGGAGUAAUAUAUUUUUGGCUUAAUAUAAAAAUUCAUUUGGCAUGCAGCACUAUUUUAUUCGGAUUGUAUUUCAUUUUGUUUCUUCUUAAUUAGAACUUAGAAUUAGGCCUGAAAAUUUAUUAUGGCAUGCCACAUCAAAUUUUCGAUGCAAGAUAUAUAAAUCUUAUUAGCUUAGCUUAUUUUAUUUUUGAUUUAAUCGAAAUUUAAUUGAGUGAUUUUAAGUGACAAAAUGGGUAGUUCCUUUAUUACUCACAGUACUUACCAAUGGAUUUCUAAGACGAUCCAUCACACUAUAAGUAUGGGCAAAUUACGGUAAUGAAAAAUUACAUCUCUUACUUCUUACUUCAACCAAAUCGAUAAUUUAUUUAUUUAUGCUUAACAAUACAAAUCGAUAUAUUUAUACAUAUUUUAUUGUAUCGUACGAGGACACAAUAAUAGUGUGUCUCGAUAAGUACUUCAAAAAUUAAAAACAAUACUUAUUUAAAUUAAAAUAUUUAUUUUGGAGAGCUAUGGUGAUUGGUCAAAUUCAAGGAUAAAUAAAUAACUUUAAAUCAUAGCGAUUUUUUUUUAUUGUGAUAAAAAAGUUGGAAAAUUCUCAUUAAAAGUAGAGUCACGCCCAAAAAUACUAUUACGAAGAAUUUAGAUCCUUCGAAACAUUUUCACAAUAUGAACAGAAAGUAACCUCAUUUAUUAUCGACAACACCUAUAUGACCAAAGUCGCAUAAGGCUGCUCCAUCUCCUUAUUACUAGUUGUGAGGAGCUUGUGCUGAGCCCGGGCCCAAGCUCACUUGGAGAGAAGGUAUUAUCUUAAUUCAUUUUAGUAAAAUCAUACGAUGGUGGAAAACUAUAAUGUUUAAUUACUUGCAGCUAAACAAAAAUCAGGUUCAGUGUAGCACUCAAAAUUGAUCAAAAUGAACAAGUUGUAUUAGUCAAAUCAAAGGAUUACUACUGCAAUUACUUCUAAACAUCAAAAGUUAACAAGAAAAAAUAAACAUUAAUAUCUAAUAAAAUCUACACUUUUGCCACCUAAUAACAAAACAUAACUAUGCAAAAGCUAGAAGAAAAAAGUUCACAGCAAUUCAUCUUCUUCUUGAUGACUACCUACUUUAUUUUCCUACCCACUUUGACCUUUCAAAUACCAAUACUUUCCUUAACUCUCUCUUCAUUAUAUACAUUUUUUCCUUCAAUAUCCACGGCCAAAAUAAUUACAGAAAAAAUGAAAAUGACCAUAUAAACAUACCGCCUUCUUCAAGAUUGCUAAUACUUGUUAAACUAAGAAUGUGACAAACACAAAAUCUUCAUCCAAUUUUAAUAUUUAAGAUUGAUUAAGAUCAAAAAGUGUCACGAUCCGAAUUUCUCACCAUCGGGAGUCGUGAUGGCGCCUACUAAUGUGAGCUAGGCAAGCCGACUGUUUGAACCAAUUACCUUUUUACCCCUUUUAUAUUCUUUAACAAUUAUAAAACAAUAACGUGUAGACAUCGAAAUUUACAAUAAGCGGAAGAAAAGUAAUGAACUAUCUGAAUAUGUAUCCAAUACAACUGCUUGAACAUCAACUACCCAGGACUGGUGUCACAGUUUCACAGACGGUCUAAGAAUACUACAUACAAAGUCUGAAAGAUAAAAGAUACAUUAUUUCUGAAAUAAGUAAAGGAAACAAGAUAAAGGAAAGAUAGGAGGUGACACCAAGGCCCGCGGACGUCUGCAGGACUACCUCGGGUUGCCUGUGUGGACUGAAGACAGCACCCUCACUGCGGUCCAAGCGCUCCGGUAUCAGUAUCUGCAUACAGUGUAGAGUGUAGUAUCAGCACAACCGACCUCAUGUGCUGGUAAGUGCCUAGCCUAACCUCGACGAAGUAGUGACUAGGCUAGGACCCGACUACCAAAUAAACUUAUGCAGUUAAAUCAUAUACAACGGAAAAAUAACAGCAGAUAAUUACAAUUAAAAAUGGGAGGGGGAAAACAUGUUUCGGGGAAUAAAAGAUAACAACAGAAUAUCAAGAGGAAUAUAAAGAAACCAAAAUCCAAUUACUAACAAGGAUAAGGAAAACAAAUGCAGAAUUUACUUUCAUUUCACAUCUUGUUACAGGCGUGCAACCCGAUCCCAUUUCAUAUAUCUCGUUGCAGGCGUGCAACCCGAUCCCAUUUCAUAUAUCUCGUUGCAGGCGUGCAACCUGCUCCCAUUUCAUAUAACUCGUUGCAGGCGUGCAGCCCGCUCCCAUUUCAUAUAUCUCGUUGCAGGCGUGCAACCGGCUCUAACAACAUUCCGGUAAGGGAACAAGAGCAAUAUAACAAUAUCACGGCAAGGGAACAAUAAUAUCAAAACNNNNNNNNNNNNNNNNNNNNNNNNNGCAGGCGUGCAACCUGCUCCCAUUUCAUAUAACUCGUUGCAGGCGUGCAGCCCGCUCCCAUUUCAUAUAUCUCGUUGCAGGCGUGCAACCGGCUCUCUUUUUAUAUAUUUUCAUGGCGGCGUGCCCCUCGAUCCCAGUUACAAAUCAACAACAAUCACAAAAGAAUCCCAGCAAGGGAUCAAGAGCAAUAUAACAACAUUCCGGUAAGGGAACAAGAGCAAUAUAACAAUAUCACGGCAAGGGAACAAUAAUAUCAAAACAAACAUCCUGGCAACGGAACAAUAAUAUGACAAUAACAUCCCGACAAGGGAACAAUAAUGAUAAUAAAUGUGAAGUGCAAUAAACCACAACGGAAUCAUAACAAUUACAAUACAAGGCUCACAGACAUGCUUGACACCGACGUAUAGAUACUCGUCACCAUGCCUAUACGACGUACUCCAUAAUUAACACGUAGCAAAUAGGACUCGAAUCCUAAUCUCUCAAGCUAAGGUUAGACCAAACACUUACCUCGAUGUCACAGACACAAUUCAAGCCUCAACUAUCGCUUUACCCCUUGAUUCCACCACCAAUUCGCUCGUAUCUAGCCACAGGUUACUUAAUUAUAUCAAUAAAUGCUAAAUGAACCAAUUCUAAUGCAUGAAAAUAAGUUUUCUAAAGUUUUACCCAAAAAGUCAAAAAUGGUCCCCGGGCCCAUAUGGUCAAAACCCGAGGUUCGAACCAAAANNNNNNNNNNNNNNNNNNNNNNNNNUAUAUAAUUUAUUUUGAAAUCGGACCUCAAGUCGAGGUCCAAAUUUCCAAUUUUUAAAAAACCUAGGUUCUACUCAAAACACUCAAUUUCCCCCAUGAAAAUUAUUAAUUUUGAGUUGAAAUCAUAUGAAAAGAUGUUAAAGAUUGAAGAAAUAUAGUUAGAAAUCACUUACAAUCGAUUUGGAGAAGAAGUUGCCUUUGAAAAAUUGCCCUAGGGAGUUUAUGUUUUGAGAAGAUAUGAAAAAAGGUUGAAAAUGCGUCUAAGUAUGAAUUUACAGGUCUCUGAUGUCGCAAUUGCGACCAGGGUACCCUUCAGAAAAUUGGGACUUUCGCAUUUGCGACCCACUCAGUUUUCUGGUCAUCAUCGCAUUUGCUAGAGACCAUUCGCAAAUGCGAAAUCACAUUUGCGAGAAAACAAUCGCAUUUGCGACUCAGGCUGCUAGGUCCAUUCUUCGCAUAUGCGAAGGUUUGUCGCAUUUGCGAGCUCGCCUUUGUGAAGCCUGCAGACAUAAUCAUACCAGCUAAAACCUGCAAUUUUCCCAAGUCCAAUUCUACUUCGUGACCUAUCCAAAACUCACCUGAGCCCUCAGGGCUCCAGACCAAACAUGCACACCAACCUAAAAACAUCAUACGGACUCGCUCGUGCAUUCAAACCACCAAAAUAACAUCAAAAAAAUAUGAAUUUAGCAUCAAAAUCAUGAAAUUUCUUAAAACUUCAAAUUUUCCAACUUUCUCAAAUACGGUCUGAUUCACGUCGUUUCAAGUUCGUUUCUUACCAAAUUUCAUAGACUCAUCUUAAAUCACAUAUAAGACAUGUGUCGGGCUCCGAAACCAAAAUACGGGCCCGAUACCAAUGGUUUCAAACAUAAAUUGUCUUCUUUACUUCAUAAUUAAUUCAGCAAAAUAAUUUCUUUCAAAAAUUCAUUUCUCGGGCUUGGGACCUCGGAAUUCGAUUCCGGCCAUACGCCCAAGUUCCAUAUUUUCCUACGGAUCCUCUGGGACUGUCAAAUCAUGGGUACGGGUUCGUUUACCGAAAAUGUUGACCGAAGUCAACUCAAACUCAUUUUAAAGGCAAAAUUCAUCAUUUUCAGAGAUUUUUACAAAAUGAAUUUCCAACUACGCGUCCGGACUGCGCACGCAAAUUGAGGUGAAACAGAAAGAGAUUUUUAAGGCCUCGAAAAGCAUAAUUUAUUUUUAAAACAAGUGAUGACCCAGGUCAUCACAAAAUUUUUUAUUAGUUAGAUCAAAUGAUUAUUACUGCAACUAUCACAAAUGUUGAAUUCACUCUUUGGUCCCUUCUCUUCGCCUCCCUCCCCCUUCCCCCUUACUCCGAAGAACGAAAAAAAGUUGGAUUCAUUACCAAUAAUUGAUUGGAUCUCUAUUCAUUCCUCCUCAUGACAAUAACAAAUACAAACAUCAAUAUUUGUGGUAUAUCUACAUAAUCUCUUUGCUACUUUGAUGGAUUAAAAUUUUCUGCACAACAUCACCUUCGAAUGUGACUAAGUAGGAUCCCUGCUAGAAAUACUAAUUGUUAUAACAUCAACAACAUAAUAUAAGGUGCUUAUGUAAAAUAUUGAACCUGAUGCAAGAUACUCACAAUCUCUAGAGCACUGAGUUCGUGAAGAACUAUUUAUUUUACACUUUUUACCGUUUUAUUUUUGCUUACAAGAGGUUUAUGCAAUCUUUUUUAUCACGCAUAUAUUUUGCUUUUUCACUCGCUAAAAAGGAAAAGAAAAUUAACUCCGAGAACAACCGAAUAGAAGAAAAGAUAAGACUAAUAAUGAGUGAAGUCAAUUAUUGUAUAUCAUUUCUACCACAUAGAUUUGAAAUUGAUUAUCAUUCCUUUUGUUUCUUCAUCAUGAAAUCAAUGUUGCUUGCUCUUCUUGCAUUUUGUAUCUUGUUGGAAGGACUUCAUUUAUUUGUGUCUGAAAGCUUGCUGCAGUUUUGAUCAUUUUUCUUGUUUUGAUUUUCAGGAUAUUAAUAAAGAAUUUGGUUGUGUGAUUCUUUUUGGUGAUCACAGUAAAAAUCGAACUCUUUAUGAUGGUAGGGGCUUCUUCUUCUAAAACGAAAAGACGGCCAGAAAUGAUUUCUUUGAUUUGUCAUAUCACGGUUUAUUAAAGAUGUUUUUGAUGAGAAUCCAUUUAAAAACCAGGUAUUUUCAUCUAUCUACUUUAUUAAUCAUUUCUUUUUUGUGUGUUUUGCUUCCAAAGAGUUUAUCUUUCUUAAAUAAUUUGAUAAGAUGUGGUUGCUUUUCAAAAACUUAUAAAAUGACAUUUCUCAAAUGUUGCCAAAACACUAAAAGGCUAUUUGGUUGGUGCGUUAAGGGAUAACAAAAAUCCUUGGAUUAGAUGCGGAAUUAUUUUAUCUCGCGUUUGGUUGAAUUUUUGAGUUUGAGAUUAGCAAUCUCCAAAUUAAUUUAUAUCAUAGUUGUGAUAUUAUUCUAUCGGGGGAGAUAAUAAUCACGGGAUAAAGCACUACAAUGACAAAAAGGCCCUUUUAAGGCUUUUCCCCGGCGUUCUUUAAAAAAUCUAAGGUUAAAAUUAAAAUAAAAGUUUAUCCCAAUUUAUCUAGUAUAUAUCAAACACAUUUUAUUUUAUACCCGACAUGUAUAUCUCAUAUUUAGUCUAUAAACCAAAAAUCUCCCACUAAAAAUAUAUCCACCGAAUAAUUCUACAACUAUUUAACUCUCUUAUAUUAUAACUCUGUUAUUAUAUCUGUUAUUAUAAUUCCAGAAUAACAUAUUCCCUUGUUUUCCAUCGGAUCUCCGAUUUAUCCACCUUCCCUCUCCUCUCUUUAUCAUCUAUCUAGAAAAAAAAAAGGAAAAAGCUAAAAAGAAAAUCUAUUAGAAAAAAAAUCAAAAUUUUCUAGGGUUUCAGUAUCUUCUAUCUCAAAAUUCUCAAUCUCAUCGAGUCUGAUUGAUAUCGGCCUUUUAUUUAUAUGAGAUUUUGUAUCUGCUAAUAAAAAGAGGAGAGGGAAGUUAGAAAAAAAAAAUUGGAAAAAAGUUUGAAAAAGAAAAUUAUCUUUAUUAUUUUUUUUGUUUAUUUUUUGUGUUGAAUUGAGAUGGCACAGGUUCAGGUGCAGCAGCAGCAGCCACAGGGUGGUGUGAAUAAUGCUGGUGGUGUGAACAACC